AUGUUCAAAUGCCUAUAUUCCAACAGAGUAUGGAACAUGAUUUAUGAUUGGUUGGGUAUGCAGUCUGCAAUGCCCUCAUGGAGCGAUCUACAGACAGUUAAACAAUGAUGAUCCGCCAGCGUGGGACGACCUCUCUACCGUAAGGCGGCUAACUCCCUACAAAUGCUCGUCUGUUGGGAGAUUUGGAACGAGAGAAAUGUUAGGGUCUUCUGUAACAAGGAAUCUCUACCCACAAGAGUGGUAGCGAUAAUCAAGGAGGAGGCCAAGACGUGGGUGUUAACCGGAGCUAGUUUUUGGGUAAUUUAA
This 306-nucleotide ribosomal RNA is filed under the name Triticum aestivum (bread wheat). Its description in RNAcentral is "partial small subunit ribosomal RNA". The record is from RNAcentral. Lineage: Eukaryota; Viridiplantae; Streptophyta; Magnoliopsida; Poales; Poaceae.